AGGACGAACGCUGGCGGCGUGCUUAACACAUGCAAGUCGAACGGCGCUCAACCAGUGGCAACACUGGGGAAAGUGCAGUGGCGAACGGGUGAGUAACACGUGAGCAACCUGCCUCGAAGACUGGGAUAACAGCGGGAAACCGCUGCUAAUACCGGAUAUCCCCAUCGGGCCGCAUGACCUGAUGAGGAAAUGAAUUUCGCUUCGAGAGGGGCUCGCGGGCUAUCAGCUUGUUGGUGGGGUAACGGCCCACCAAGGCUACGACGGCUAGCUGGUCUGAGAGGACGACCAGCCACACUGGGACUGAGACACGGCCCAGACUCCUACGGGAGGCAGCAGUUGGGAAUUUUGCGCAAUGGACGAAAGUCUGACGCAGCAACGCCGCGUGAGGGAUGACGGCCUUCGGGUUGUAAACCUCUUUAUCAGGGACGAUAAUGACGGUACCUGAUGAAUAAGUCACGGCUAACUACGUGCCAGCAGCCGCGGUAAUCGUG
Molecule: ribosomal RNA, 491 nt
Filed under: uncultured bacterium
Lineage: Bacteria
Description: SSU rRNA
Rfam family: Bacterial small subunit ribosomal RNA
Source: RNAcentral